CUACGGGCGGCUGCAGUUUCGAAUAAUUCACAAUGGGCGCAAGCCUGAUGAUGCGACGUUACGUGAAGGAAGAAAGCUUUAAGUUGUAAACUUCUGUCGUUAAGGAACAAAAAAUUAAGUAGUACUUUUUAUAUCGAGUUAACUUAAAAAGGAAGCAGUGGCUAAUUUCGUGCCAGCAGCCGCGGUAAUACGGGAACUGCAAGCGUUGCUCGGUUUUAUUGGGCGUAAAGAGUACGUAGGCUGUUAUAUAUGUUAAUUGUUAAAUUUUAAAGUUAAUCUUUAAAUUUGCUGUUAAAACUAUAUAACUCGAAUUUCAAAGAGGUAAGUGGAAUUUCAAGUGUAGCGGUGAAAUGCGUAGAUAUUUGAAGGAACACCAAUGGCGAAAGCAACUUACUGGGUGAUAAUUGACGCUAAAGUACGAAAGUAUAGGGAGCAAAAGGGAUUAGAUACCCUGGUAGUC
This 460-nucleotide ribosomal RNA is filed under the name uncultured bacterium. RNAcentral's name for it is "partial 16S ribosomal RNA". It matches the Rfam family "Bacterial small subunit ribosomal RNA", at positions 339 to 795 of the family's 1533-position model. The record is from RNAcentral.